This 446-nucleotide ribosomal RNA is filed under the name uncultured bacterium. RNAcentral's name for it is "bacterial SSU rRNA". It matches the Rfam family "Bacterial small subunit ribosomal RNA", at positions 227 to 694 of the family's 1533-position model. The record is from RNAcentral.
GAGCCCGCGGCCUAUUAGCUAGUUGGUGGGGUAAUGGCUCACCAAGGCGAUGAUGGGUAGCCGGCCUGAGAGGGCGACCGGCCACAUUGGGACUGAGAUACGGCCCAGACUCCUACGGGAGGCAGCAGUAGGGAAUUUUGCGCAAUGGGCGAAAGCCUGACGCAGCAACGCCGCGUGAGCGAUGAAGGCCUUCGGGUCGUAAAGCUCUGUCAGAUGGGAAGCUGACGGUACCAUCAAUGAAGCUCCGGCUAACUCCGUGCCAGCAGCCGCGGUAAUACGGAGGGAGCAAGCGUUGUUCGGAUUUACUGGGCGUAAAGAGCGCGUAGGCGGUCAGGUAAGUCAGAUGUGAAAACCACCGGCUCAACCGGUUGGCUGCAUUUAAGACUGCCUGACUUGAGUUCAGGAGAGGGGAGUGGAAUUCCCAGUGUAGCGGUGGAAUGCGUAGA